Molecule: ribosomal RNA, 436 nt
Filed under: uncultured bacterium
Lineage: Bacteria
Description: partial 16S ribosomal RNA
Rfam family: Bacterial small subunit ribosomal RNA
Source: RNAcentral
GCGAACGCUGGCGGCAGGCUUAACACCUGCCAGUCGAGCGGGCAUCCUUGUGGUGUCAGCGGCAGACGGGUGCGUAACGCGUGGGAACGUGCCCUUCGGUUCGGAAUAACUCAGGGAAACUUGAGCUAAUACCGGAUACGUGCGAGAGCAGAAAGGUUUAUCUGCCGAAGGAUCGGCCCGCGUCUGAUUAGCUAGUUGGUGAGGUUAUGGCUCACCAAGGCGACGAUCAGUAGCUGGUCUGAGAGGAUGAUCAGCCACACUGGGACUGAGACACGGCCCAGACUCCUACGGGAGGCAGCAGUGGGGAAUAUUGGACAAUGGGGGCAACCCUGAUCCAGCCAUGCCGCGUGAGUGAUGACGGCCUUAGGGUUGUAAAGCUCUUUUCUCCGGGACGAUAAUGACGGUACCGGAGGAAUAAGCCCCGGCUAACUUCGUG